RNAcentral lists this transfer RNA (76 nucleotides) under Ruminococcus sp. Its description in RNAcentral is "tRNA-Ala". It matches the Rfam family "tRNA". Rfam says of the family: Transfer RNA (tRNA) molecules are approximately 80 nucleotides in length. Their secondary structure includes four short double-helical elements and three loops (D, anti-codon, and T loops). The record is from RNAcentral. Lineage: Bacteria; Bacillati; Bacillota; Clostridia; Eubacteriales; Oscillospiraceae. RNAcentral also lists the same sequence under 33 other names.
GGGGGUGUAGCUCAGCUGGGAGAGCACCUGCCUUGCACGCAGGGGGUCAGGAGUUCGAUCCUCCUCAUCUCCACCA